Molecule: ribosomal RNA, 492 nt
Filed under: uncultured bacterium
Lineage: Bacteria
Description: partial 16S ribosomal RNA
Rfam family: Bacterial small subunit ribosomal RNA
Source: RNAcentral
AUUGAACGCUGGCGGCAUGCUUUACACAUGCAAGUCGAACGGUAACAGGCCUUCUGGUGCUGACGAGUGGCGCACGGGUGAGUAAUGCAUCGGAACGUACCCAGAGGUGGGGGAUAACGCAGCGAAAGCUGUGCUAAUACCGCAGGUGAUCUGAGUAUGAAAGCGGGGGACCGAGCAGCAAUGUUUGGCCUCGCGCCUUUGGAGCGGCCGAUGUCGGAUUAGCUAGUUGGUGGGGUAAAGGCCUACCAAGGCGACGAUCCGUAGCUGGUCUGAGAGGACGACCAGCCACACUGGGACUGAGACACGGCCCAGACUCCUACGGGAGGCAGCAGUGGGGAAUUUUGGACAAUGGGCGCAAGCCUGAUCCAGCAAUGCCGCGUGCGGGAAGAAGGCCUUCGGGUUGUAAACCGCUUUUGGCAGGAACGAAACGGUGUCCGCUAAUACCGGGCGCUAAUGACGGUACCUGCAGAAUAAGCACCGGCUAACUACGUG